UGAGAUCGUCGACGUGCUUGAGAAAUACACAUGAGGUUGAGGGGCUUGGCCGCUUGAUCUUAGCAUAAAAACAUAAAUGUUUCAGAUUCUUGUUGUGGUUGAUGGCAACAAUAGAAGCGACAAUCAUGGAUUCGGUACGAAGAAAAUGCCAUGGAAGUUGCAGACGAAUGUCGAAUGAGGAUGAGGCUGGUUUGUGUUUUGCAUUGGAGAAUAUAUUUUUCUUUCAGGAUGUAUAAUGCUGCUGGAGAGAGCAACCGAGAGACUUUUGUAACAUUUUUUGUCACAAGAUCUAGCAUUAUCCUUUGCAAAAUUUGAGACAUAAAUUCAAUGGUUACAUUCACAUUUCACAAAAAAAAAAUGUAAACAUAUUAAGUUUGACAUCUAAUAUUAAUGAAUUCUACAAAUUAAGAUUCGUUGACACCAAAUAUUAAACUUGAUAUACUUACACCUUUAAUAAUUGUUCGUAAAAUAUCCCCUCAAACAAAAAAACUGUUUGUAAAAUAUGAAAGUAACCAAUGUAACCAACGUAGUGAAAGCUCUCAUUAACUAGAUCAAAUAUUAAAAAAUUAUACAGUUUUGAAAUUACUUGGCACUGCAUCAUAAUUAGUAUUUUAUUUAAAAAUAUAAAAUGUCCACUAUUUCAAAAUAUACAUGUUAAUGAAAGUCCAAGUUAUCUAAAAUCUUAGGAGGAUAAUAUACCAUGAUUCAAAGGCUGAGGUAAAAGUUUAAGUAUACCAAUUUUGAUACCUAAUGCAAAGAGGUAUUAAUAAUACACUCACACCCGUCAUCCAUGUUCACAGUUUACUUACAUUUUCCUAUUUCCUAAUAAAAAUUAUGUUCCAAACUCUUGACCAUUCUCCUCACGGCUUUCAUUGUCAUCGUCCAUCAACUAUUGACAGAGUCUUCAAGGUCACACAGAAAACGCAGCAUCAACUUCAACCAUAAUCAUAUACUAUUUAUGGAUUAAAUAUCCCUAUUAAUUUCAUAGGCUGUGGAUCAAAUUAUCGGAAAUGCCCUCAAUGUACCUCCAAAAUCAUGCCAAGUAUUGACUUGAAAUGGAAUCAAUGGAAAACGAGGAGACAGACCGAGUAAACUCCCCCUUUAGUCACCCUGAAAAUUCAAGUAAUUGAUAUGAAGGCAAAUAUUGGCUGAGACCGAGACCAAAGAGUCAUGUGACUUUCUUUAAAUGGUUAAUUAACAUUUAAUCUCAAUCAUCACACUUUCAUAAAAACUAACACUCUUAUUAGAUAUAUUUCCCAUAAUUAAAUCCAAAAUAAAAGUCACAGGUUAAUGACUUUAUCUCUAAUGGUAAAACACAAAUCAUUGUUGCAUAAUAAGGACAAGUUUGUAAAGUAGAACAUAGAGAAAUAUGACACAAACUUUAAAGCAUGGUCUAAGUCAGGCAGUGCAGACAGACUUAAUUUGACAUAUGAGUGGCUUUGCUGCACAUAUUUAAUGUAGUUAUGAUUAAAACAGCUUAGCACUUGCGACCUUAAGUAUGGUCAGAUAGACAUACACCAAUAUACAUAUCAUUUAAAACAGAAGAAACACAAAUAUUUCUGAUAACAUGCAAGCAUGAAACUGGUUCUCAGGAUUCUACAUGGAUACUUGAGCUUGGUUAUGAUCCAGAAGGCUGACAAUAAAAUAAAGAGCCUGAGGACGGGGUUGUUGCUGUGGUCUUUGUUGGUAUGGUUGUUGGGGGUAAUAUGGUUGUUGAGGGAAUUGUUGUAGGUUGUAUAGUGGUUGGUAUAAUGGGGGGUAGUAUGGUGCAGGUCCUUGAGGUCUGGGUGAUUGAUAGUUUGGGUUCUAGGGUGCGGUCAUUUGUGGGGUGAUGUUGGCAACAAAGGGGUGAUUAGGGUACACGGGCUGAG
RNAcentral lists this long non-coding RNA (1871 nucleotides) under Medicago truncatula (barrel medic). RNAcentral's name for it is "long non-coding RNA (MTRU_LNC000198)". The record is from RNAcentral. Lineage: Eukaryota; Viridiplantae; Streptophyta; Magnoliopsida; Fabales; Fabaceae.